GACGAACCGUGCGAACGUUGUUCGGAUUCACUGGGCUUAAAGGGCGCGUAGGCGGCUUGCCAAGUCAGGGGUGAAAUCUUUCGGCUCAACCGGAAAACAGCUUCUGAUACUGGCGGGCUUGAGGGAGGUAGGGGCGGAUGGAACUUCCGGUGGAGCGGUGAAAUGCGUAGAUAUCGGAAGGAACGCCGGUGGCGAAAGCGGACUUCUGGGUUGUUACUGACGCUGAGGUACGAAAGCGUGGGGAGCAAACGGG
This 253-nucleotide ribosomal RNA is filed under the name uncultured bacterium. RNAcentral describes it as "partial 16S ribosomal RNA". It matches the Rfam family "Bacterial small subunit ribosomal RNA", at positions 524 to 776 of the family's 1533-position model. The record is from RNAcentral.